Molecule: transfer RNA, 72 nt
Filed under: bacterium
Lineage: Bacteria
Description: tRNA-Pro
Rfam family: tRNA
About the family: Transfer RNA (tRNA) molecules are approximately 80 nucleotides in length. Their secondary structure includes four short double-helical elements and three loops (D, anti-codon, and T loops). Further hydrogen bonds mediate the characteristic L-shaped molecular structure. tRNAs have two regions of fundamental functional importance: the anti-codon, which is responsible for specific mRNA codon recognition, and the 3' end, to which the tRNAs corresponding amino acid is attached (by aminoacyl-tRNA synthetases). tRNAs cope with the degeneracy of the genetic code in two manners: having more than one tRNA (with a specific anti-codon) for a particular amino acid; and 'wobble' base-pairing, i.e. permitting non-standard base-pairing at the 3rd anti-codon position.
Source: RNAcentral
CGGGACGUGGUAUAAUGGUUAUUACAUAUGGCUGGGGGUCAUAUAAUCUCGGUUCAAUUCCGUGCGUCCCGA